Molecule: long non-coding RNA, 357 nt
Filed under: Mytilus galloprovincialis (Mediterranean mussel)
Lineage: Eukaryota; Metazoa; Mollusca; Bivalvia; Mytilida; Mytilidae
Source: RNAcentral
GUUUUUGUCUGUUUAUUCUAGUACUUUAAGCUAUAUGUCAAUUAUACUUGGUGUAUGAAAUGAUUGCAAGGUGUACAGGUAUCAUCUGACCUUGACAUCAUUUUCAUAGUUCAUUAGUCGAUAUCUACUUGUGUUGUGGUCUGUUUCUCAAUUAUCAUAGGCAAUUGGUCAACUUUAUUUGGUGUAUGAAUAUUUGUUAGGUGUACAUGUCUAUUUGAAAGGAUUUAUCUGACAAUGAACAAAUUGUCAUGGAUCUUUAAAGAUGUUUUAUGUCAUUUUUGGGGUUCACCUUUAUCUCAAAGACUAUCAACAGCAGGCAAGACAUUACAGCAUGUGCUCUCAUGUUUUGGUUUAGUC